AACGAACGCUGGCGGCAUGCCUAACACAUGCAAGUCGAACGAGACCUUCGGGUCUAGUGGCGCACGGGUGCGUAACGCGUGGGAACCUGCCCUUAGGUUCGGAAUAACUCCCCGAAGGGGGUGCUAAUACCGGAUAAUGUCUUCGGACCAAAGAUUUAUCGCCUUUGGAUGGGCCCGCGUUGGAUUAGCUAGUUGGUAGGGUAAAAGCCUACCAAGGCGACGAUCCAUAGCUGGUCUGAGAGGAUGAUCAGCCACACUGGGACUGAGACACGGCCCAGACUCCUACGGGAGGCAGCAGUGGGGAAUAUUGGACAAUGGGCGAAAGCCCGAUCCAGCAAUGCCGCGUGAGUGAUGAAGGCCUUAGGGUUGUAAAGCUCUUUUACCCGGGAUGAUAAUGACAGUACCGGGAGAAUAAGCUCCGGCUAACUCCGUG
This 433-nucleotide ribosomal RNA is filed under the name uncultured bacterium. RNAcentral describes it as "partial 16S ribosomal RNA". It matches the Rfam family "Bacterial small subunit ribosomal RNA", at positions 29 to 507 of the family's 1533-position model. The record is from RNAcentral.